GUACGCUGGCGGCACGCCUUAUACAUGCAAGUCGAACGAAGUAGCAAUACUUAGUGGCAGACGGGUGAGUAACAUGUAGGUAUCUACCCUUUGGUGAGGAAUAACACGAGGAAACUUGUGCUAAUACCUCAUAAGUCUUUACGGAGAAAGCUUUAUGCGCCGAAGGAUGAGCCUGCACUUGAUUAGUUUGUUGGUGGGGUAAUGGCCUACCAAGACUUUGAUCUAUAGCUGAUCUGAGAGGAUGAUCAGCCACAUUGGGACUGAGACACGGCCCAAACUCCUACGGGAGGCAGCAGUAGGGAAUAUUGCACAAUGGAGGAAACUCUGAUGCAGCGAUGCCGCGUGAGUGAAGAAGGCCUUUGGGUUGUAAAGCUCUUUCGUCGGGGAAGAAAAUGACUGUACCCGAAUAAGAAGGUCCGGCUA
Molecule: ribosomal RNA, 423 nt
Filed under: uncultured bacterium
Lineage: Bacteria
Description: bacterial SSU rRNA
Rfam family: Bacterial small subunit ribosomal RNA
Source: RNAcentral